This 433-nucleotide ribosomal RNA is filed under the name uncultured delta proteobacterium. RNAcentral's name for it is "bacterial SSU rRNA". It matches the Rfam family "Bacterial small subunit ribosomal RNA", at positions 9 to 429 of the family's 1533-position model. The record is from RNAcentral. Lineage: Bacteria; Deltaproteobacteria.
GAGUUUGAUCGUGGCUCAGAACGAACGCUAGCGGCGCGCCUAACACAUGCAAGUCGAGCGAGAAAGGGAGCAAUCCCCGGUACAGCGGCGCACGGGUGAGUAACACGUAGGUAAUCUGCCUCCGAGUGGGGGAUAACCUUCCGAAAGGAGGGCUAAUACCGCAUGAGACCACGCCUUCGAGAGGAGGAGGGGUCAAAGCCGGCCACUAUACAUAAGCUGGCGCUUGGAGAUGAGCCUGCGGCCCAUCAGCUUGUUGGUAGGGUAACGGCCUACCAAGGCAAAGACGGGUAGCUGGUCUGAGAGGAUGAUCAGCCACACUGGAACUGAAACACGGUCCAGACUCCUACGGGAGGCAGCAGUGGGGAAUAUUGGACAAUGGGCGCAAGCCUGAUCCAGCGACGCCGCGUGAGUGAUGAAGGCCUUCGGUUGUAAG